AGAUUGGAACACAAUACCACAGUGAGGAAAGCCGGAUGUUGCCCACAUGCCCCAUGGAGAAACCCGCCAGGGGCAUGUUGGGACAUUGGGAGUGUGAGCCCUGGAGACUGUGUUGUGGCAGGGAUCCAGGUUCUCCCAGCUGCCGGCCACAGGGCUCUGCCCAGAGGUCCUGAGUUUCCUCAAUGGCAUUCUAAUCCAUGAGUGUUCAGAGAGAGCAGGUGGGCUCCCCUACCCGGCGCCUUCCGACCAGCAUCUGGAAAAGGAUAGUCAGAAACGCAGUGAAAAUUACGCCUGCAACCCUGGCAGGCAGGGAAGCACUUAAUAACUUACGUGGGUGUCAGGGCAAGGGAGCCGUCCGCAGACCAGAGUUGUGAUGGACCGUUCUCCACCAUGUGAUGUUCAUUUUCUCCACUGAGAUUAAAAAAGAAGAGGAAAGGAAAGGAAAGUGCACAACCUCCUUGAAAAGACAGCUCCUCCUGCCGAAAAUGUGUUGCAGACUCGGUCAGUCAGGUGGACUUAAUUGGAAGGCACUUUCUUUUUGAUGGAAAAAGAAGGAGAAAGAU
RNAcentral lists this long non-coding RNA (563 nucleotides) under Pan troglodytes (chimpanzee). Its description in RNAcentral is "lincRNA". The record is from RNAcentral. Lineage: Eukaryota; Metazoa; Chordata; Mammalia; Primates; Hominidae.